Molecule: long non-coding RNA, 1546 nt
Filed under: Equus asinus (donkey)
Lineage: Eukaryota; Metazoa; Chordata; Mammalia; Perissodactyla; Equidae
Description: lncRNA (ENSEASG00005037420.1)
Source: RNAcentral
GUGGCGUGUGUGCACGUGUGCGCGCAUGAGCUACUGGAGGAGCGGCUGGUUGUUUCAGGUUUUGUGAAAGUUGAGUAUGCCCUCGGUAAUGGACUCAGGGUGAUACAGGACAGAGCAUUUCAGAAACUGUCAUUAUCCCUUGGAAACUUACAGUCCAUUGGAGAGACAGACACAUCAUAAAUAAUUACCAAACAUGUAUAACUAUAAUUAUGCCAUCAUAACGGGAGGAGGCCCAAACAGCCUGUGAUGAGUGAGGUGCAAGUGGAAAGGAACUGUGGCCGCCAGCCCUCAGCCUUAGCCAAACUCCCAGCUGCCAGCCAGCAGGAACCUGCCAGCCAUAAGUGAGCCAUCUUGAAAGCGCAUCCUUCAGCCCCAGUCAAGCCAUCUCAGCUGGCGCUGUGUGGCACAAAGAUGAACCAUCCUUGUUCAUCCCUACCUACAAUGCAGAGACUCACGUUAUUGAGCUGAUCACCCCUCUGUAAGUGGUGGACGAACUCAGUCAACUGUGUUUGUGCCUGGAUUCAAUAUAGCCACUUGGCUGUUUCAAUUUCUCGUCCUUGGGAAGGAGGAGCAAAACUACAGUGCGUUGUUCCCAGGUUCACCUCUGGGAUGAGAUCUGGACGAGAAUAAUCAUGCCUGCCCCUUCACCUCUGGCUGCACUCUGAGAAGUGCCAAGAAGGUCAUAUCAAAGACCCAGAGGGGAGAGAUGGAGCUAAGUGGUUCCAAACAUUUAGAGCAUGGAAUUGAGCUACUUUUUCAAAAUGGGGAAUGCAGAUACACACAGAGGCACACUGGAAACGCAAUAGAACAAUGGCUGCCAAUUUAAAAGCAGAAGUUAAGAAGAGCAAACCCGAAUGUACAGCGAGAGAGCUUCGGGCUGGAUCAGCUCCCGGCAGAAGCGAGACUGGAAAUCUUGGAUUCUGUUGCCUCUUCUCUCCUCUGUGAUGUGGAAGAAGAUGUCAGCACCUGGGAAGGCACUGAGAACAAAAGGAAACUCUCUUGAAUGGUGGGAUCGAGGCACUGUAGCACAUUUUUUAUGGAGGGGAAGGAGGCUUUUCACCUGGAAACCUUUCAAAUCACACCCUAUAAGUAGCUCACGAGUCUCUCUACUCAUACUGAUCUCUUCAUCUGCUGAGUUGAACAGUGUCCCCCAAAUUCAUGGCCACCCGGGACCUGUGAAUGUGACCUUAUUUGGAAAUAGGGUCAUUGCAGAUAUACUCAAAUUAAGACAAGGCCAUAUUGGAUUAGGGGGAGCCCUAAAUUCAAUAUGACUGGAGUCUUUAUAAGAAGAGGAAAAUUUGGCCACAGAGAUAUAGACCUACGGGGUAUCAGGCCCUGUGAAGACAGAGUCAGAGAUUGGAACGAGGUGUCAAGUCAAGGAUCAACAAGGAUUGCUGACAACCAGAGCAAGAUGGAAGAGGCAAGGAAGGGCUCUUCCUUAGAGACUUCAGAAGGAACAGGCCCUGCCAACACCUUGACUGUGGACUUCUAGCCUCCAGAACUUUGAGGGAAUAAAUUUCUGUUGUUUCAAGCCGCCCAGUCUAUG